Non-coding RNA from Arachis ipaensis, 504 nucleotides. NCBI's taxonomy places the organism in Eukaryota, Viridiplantae, Streptophyta, Magnoliopsida, Fabales, Fabaceae. The record is from RefSeq and is a predicted model, not a curated record.
UUUAUAAAACAGCGGAGCCUCCAUGAAAGCAGUGAAUCCAUUGACAUCGCGUCCACGAAUGGUGUUUUCAAUAAAAAUCUCUACUCGUUAACACAGCAUGUGAAGGAGUCACAGCAGGACAAGAGACAUUCAUUCACGAACUAUGAAUGCGUUAAUGAUGUCAUUGAUGAUAAAUGUGACACACGACAUGUGCAGAUCGAUGUCCGAGAUCCGUUACCAUCGUCACUGCCUUGUGGCAACAAACAAGGAUCGUACAUGGCAUUGUUCGCGUCGAUGCAUAGGACACUUUGACCAUUUGAAGGAAUUAGUCUUCUGAAUUUAGUGCAAUGCAAGUAUAAUUGGUUCUAAAAGCAUGAUCUAUCCUGAUUUACUGACCGCAAUGUAUUUGUCACUGCUUGGUAUUGAGGAGUUUUAAGUUGUAGUUAUUUACGUUAACUAUGAAUAUGUCCAUUAGGGUGAUAAUUAUGUUCAAUAAUAUGUAUGUGAUUUGCUUACAUUGUUGUA